Synchiropus splendidus (mandarinfish) is the source of this 75-nucleotide small nucleolar RNA. RefSeq annotates it as small nucleolar RNA SNORD66. The record is from RefSeq and is a predicted model, not a curated record. Lineage: Eukaryota; Metazoa; Chordata; Actinopteri; Syngnathiformes; Callionymidae. The transcript has a single exon.
CUCCGAUGAUGACUUCAACUUUGUGCCAAGUGUCUGGGCCACUGAGAACAGUGAUGGAUAUGAGGAACUGAGGAG